CCUACGGGAGGCAGCAGUGGGGAAUCUUGCACAAUGGAGGAAACUCUGAUGCAGCGACGCCGCGUGAGCGAUGAAGCCCUUCGGGGUGUAAAGCUCUUUCGGCAGGGACGAUAAUGACGGUACCUGAAGAAGAAGCUGCGGCUAACUACGUGCCAGCAGCCGCGGUAAU
RNAcentral lists this ribosomal RNA (169 nucleotides) under uncultured bacterium. RNAcentral describes it as "partial 16S ribosomal RNA". It matches the Rfam family "Bacterial small subunit ribosomal RNA", at positions 338 to 524 of the family's 1533-position model. The record is from RNAcentral.